UACGUAGGGUGCAAGCGUUAAUCGGAAUUACUGGGCGUAAAGCGUGCGCAGGCGGUUUUGUAAGUCUGACGUGAAAUCCCCGGGCUCAACCUGGGAAUUGCGAUGGAGACUGCAAGGCUAGAAUCUGGCAGAGGGGGGUAGAAUUCCACGUGUAGCAGUGAAAUGCGUAGAGAUGUGGAGGAACACCGAUGGCGAAGGCAGCCCCCUGGGUCAAGAUUGACGCUCAUGCACGAAAGCGUGGGGAGCAAACAGG
This 253-nucleotide ribosomal RNA is filed under the name uncultured bacterium. RNAcentral describes it as "partial 16S ribosomal RNA". It matches the Rfam family "Bacterial small subunit ribosomal RNA", at positions 524 to 776 of the family's 1533-position model. The record is from RNAcentral.